This is an RNA transcript of Austrofundulus limnaeus, 4488 nucleotides long. It is a transcript of the gene named protocadherin alpha-C2, with no coding region annotated. The record is from RefSeq and is a predicted model, not a curated record. Lineage: Eukaryota; Metazoa; Chordata; Actinopteri; Cyprinodontiformes; Rivulidae. The transcript is spliced from 5 exons.
GAGCUGUCCGGAUAACAUGUCUUGAUUUUUUUUAAAACAGCAAAAUCUUUAAUUUCGUUUUUUUUUUUUUCAAAGAUUUUCCUCAAGAUCCCACUCAGGGCUUUAAACGCACCAGACAGUAUCUAAUCUGAUCUGUGUAGUCCUGCAGUGGGAAGGAUGGCAUUUUGGGCCGCUGUCUUUGUCUGGACUGCAGUCUGGCCCUGCGCUUUGUCUGUGACUCGGUACUCCAUAGCGGAGGAGAUGGAGAGGGGAUCCGUUGUGGCGAAUCUCGCGGCGGAUCUGGGACUUGAGCUGGCAGGCUUGGCACAACGAGAGGUAAAACUCGACAUAUUCACCAACAAAAAAUAUCUGGACUUUAACAAAAAGACCGGCGAGCUGUACGUGGUGGAGAAAAUAGACCGGGAGUUCCUUUGUCCGGCGAAGCCCACGUCGUGUUUUCUAAAGCUCGAUUUCAUCAUAGAGAGCCCGCUGCGCAUCUUUAACAUAGAGCUCGGAAUAACGGACAUAAACGACAACGCGCCGCAUUUCCGAAGGGACCGAGUGGAGCUGGACGUGUCCGAAUCCGCCACGCCGGGGGAGAGGUUCUCUUUGCCCAACGCCGUGGAUCCAGAUGUUGGCAUUAACACGAUUAAAACCUACAAACUCAGCGCGAGCGAUCAUUUCACAAUAGAAAUCCAAACGGGCACAGACGGAACCCAGUAUGUGGAUUUGGUUCUGACCAGUCCUUUAGACCGCGAGGAGAAUGCUGCUCAUAAAUUAAUCCUGACAGCCGAGGAUGGAGGCGUCCCUGUGCGCUCAGGCACUGCCAACAUUAUAGUUAGAAUGCAGGACACUAAUGAUAAUCCUCCUCGCUUUGACAAGCCAGUUUACCUCAUUAACAUGACAGAAAAUACACCGAUAGGAACUUUAGUGACCAAGCUGAACGCUACAGAUCUUGAUGAGGGUUUGAAUUCAGAGAUAGUGUACUCAUUCACGCUUUACACGUCCGAAAAAACGCAAGACGUCUUUGCGCUGAACCCCAACACAGGAGAGGUGACAGUUAAAGGAACGAUCGAUUAUGAAGAUAUGAAAUUUUAUGAGAUGCACAUUGAAGCCAGGGAUAAAGGUGCGCACCCCCUGCUGGGGCAGUGCAAAAUGGUGGUUCAUGUCACGGACAUGAAUGAUAAUUAUCCGGAAAUCAACGUGCAGUCAGUGAAAAACACUGUAGCUGAAAAUAUAGCUGUUGGGAGCGUUAUUGCGCUGGUUGGGACAGGUGACCGGGAUAGUGGUAACAAUGGGAAAGUGAGUUUAUCAAUACACGAGGCCAUGCCUUUUAUUCUAAACAAAUCCAUCGACAGACCCACACAUUAUGAGCUCAUAGUGUCAGAGCCAUUAGAUCGCGAAAAGGUGGCAGAAUAUGUCAUCACCCUGAUUGUGACAGAUGCAGGAACACCGCCUUUAUCUGAUAAUGAGACGAUAACUGUGCAUCUGCUGGAUGUUAAUGACAAUGUUCCKCAGUUCCCCCAGUCUUUUUAUACUAUACGUGUGAUGGAGAAUAARGCCCCRGYAGCCCUGCUCAGCUCCCUCACUGCGUUUGACCCUGACCUCCAUGAAAACCAGUAUCUAGUUUAUUUCAUCCUGGAGAAGGAGAUKGCCAACACCUCCAUGUCCAUGUUGUUCUCCAUCAAUCCAGAGAACGGCAAUCUUUACGCUCUGAAAACUUUUGACUAUGAGAUUGAYCAGGAGUUUCUGUUCCACAUCGAGGCCAGAGACUCUGGUUCUCCUCCUCUCAGCAGCAARGUGACAGUUCACAUCGUCAUUGUGGACCAGAAUGACAACGCUCCAGUUAUUGUGUCUCCAUGGCGCGCACACGGCUCUCUGGUGGAGGAAAAGAUCCCCAGAUCCACUGAUAAAGGCUCKCUGGUUGCCAAYGUGAUCGCCUUGGACACYGACUCUGUGCACAACUCUCGGAUCACCUACCAGUUCCUCCAGGUGACUGARGCCUCCUUGUUCAGUCUGGACCAGUACAACGGAGAGAUCCGGACCAUGAGGAUGUUCAGCUACAAAGACCCYCGCCARRUCAGACUGGUUGUUGUUGCCAAGGACAACGGGGAGCCCGCUCUGUCUGCUACAGUCACCAUCAAGCUGCUGACAGUGGAGACUGCUGUUAAGGCCUACUCUGACAUGACUGAGAUGUCUCUGGAAUAUGACAUCUUUUCAGACAUCAACCUGUAUUUGGUGAUCGGUCUGGGCUCGGUGUCAUUUCUCCUGCUCAUCACCAUCCUGGUCACCAUCGUGCUCAAGUGUCAGAAAGCCAAGCCCAGCAAAGCUGCUCCUCCCASCAGGAACAGUGUGAUCAGUGAGAGGAACUCCACCAUCGCAGACUCCACUCUGGUGUCCAACGAUGCCUACUGGUACAGUCUGUUUCUAGCAGAGACCAGGAAAGGAAAGCUGGUGGUCAGYCAGCCUGUGCCAAAYGGCUCCAGGUACAUCGUGUCCAGUAUCCCCAGAGGGACAGGUCAUUCAGAGACCAGUGACUCUGCAGCUUCUACUCUGCAGUACCCUAAAUGAGGAAAGUCCACUCAGCAGCUGGAGAGGCUGUGUCUCAAUUCAUGGGCCAUGUGGGCCACAUCCUCCCUGGGCCACGUAGGCUGCUCAAAACUGCUGUGAAAUGAGAUGGUCUACCCUUCGCCUGACGUCUGUUUACUGAGGAUACACUGAUGCAUCUUCAGAUUUCGAGAGUUUGUCAGCCACAUGAUGAGGAGCCUUCUAACUGGGAUAGUCCUCCGCGCAGAGCAGUGACAUGUGCGGCCAACAGGCAUCCACAACAAGCAGCAGCAGUUCCAAAUAGGACCGACCCUUCAGCCGUGGACAGUAUCAAUCCAUCACAUCUAUCCGUCUCCAUCUGGUUUGUUCUUCACUACAUGUAGUUGUCAUGGUAUAGCAGUUAUAAAUUAUGGUGUCAAAUCUGAAAACCCUARAUCCCUCUUCUUGGGCCACGUGAAAAGCAGAUGUCACCAAUGUCCUGAUGUUCAUUCAUUGUGCAUGAUGAAACUGCAUGGCUCCAGCUGCGCUUUGAGACUUAUUUAAAAAAAAGUUAAGAAAAAAAAUGGGCAGAAGUCAUGUUCAUUAAUGAAUGAACUGUAAAAAUAUGCACCUGUCAAGAUUCAAAGAAGCCCGAAUGAAGAUUACGUGAUCAGAUGUGGGGACGUUGAGAGGCCUUUAAGAACCUGCUUGCUGUCUUGCAGAAGAAGCGUUUGUUGGAAACUGCAUUUCAAGCUCUUUGUGUUGUCGUGCUCCAAAGCCACAUUGAUCUUUAAUAUAAUCAACAUGAAGAAGUGAAACAACACUGUUAACAAUGAGUCAGAAAAGCACAAACCUAUUAAAUUAAAACCAACAAUGACAGUCAGUAUUUUAUAAAUGUGUUCGCUUUUUGUAGCCUUUUUGUUUUAUACUUGACUUUGUGCGUGAAGUGAGCUAGGCCUAAACACAUGAACUAGUGCCAACAUCAAAUGCACACAUGAAUAUGAGCGAGGCCUUUAUACAUCAUACCUUUUAUGUUGUUUUUGCAUGGGAUAACCAAACUACAUCCACGAAUAUUUUAUUCUACCACACACAUUAUAUCAGAUUAUUUUAGCACAAUACUGAAAACUGUUGUUUAAUGGGACCAGAUUUAUUAAUCAGAUUUUCCCCUCAUGUAAACAAGAGCAGCAGGUUGAGAGUUAUUCUGUUUCACAAAUGUAUUGACAGUCUAAAACCUCACUGUUUGAUGUGUUUGUCUACUUGAAAACUGUUGAUGAAAGAGUAUUAAUAGUUUAAACUAAGUGAGCCUCUGUGAGUACUGUUCCUGUCUGAAUGAAAUUGAAAGAAACUGAAUGGAGAGAAUAUUCUUCGGUGUUCCUAUGAGGACUGUAUAUACAGUACAUUAGAAAUGCUGAUAUGCAUWUCGACAUUUAUGACUUUUGUUCCAAAAUCUGGGUUUUUAACAAUUUGUAUGAAUUAUGUCAACAUGUUGAAAAUUUAGAAGUGGUUGCUUAAUUUAGAUUUCUGAAACAAUGUAAUCUGCAUUCUAUGUAUUGACUUUUACCCACUGAAAUCUCUUCAUGUAUAUUACUGACUAUUGUAUAUGUCUGCAUAUCCAUGACAGAAACUUCAACACAAACACUACUGACAUAUGUAUGAUUCAUUAUUUUCUUGUCUAUAAAUAUGCCUUUUCUUUAUAAUGUUGGUGCUUUUGCAUCUCUUCAAUGUGAACAGAAUUAUGUGCCAUCAGAUUCAUGAGUCAACCUUUGUAUGACAGAAAAAAAAAUCCUUCAGAUGUCAAGUAAUCAAACUCUUUAUUAGCACAGCUCUCAUUAUAUUUCUUGUGAGAAGUUUGGACAUAUUUUAGCCGAACAUAUACAUAAGUGCUAUUGUACAGUGGUACUUUAAUUGUGAAGUUUGUUGUGUAAUGUGAGCUAUCUGUACGAUGUGGUCUGGUAUGAGUUAAUAAAAACAAACCAACAAUGA